CUGGCUCCUUUUGGUGGGAUCUGAUGGCAUCUCACCCAGUGGAGGUAGGCGGUGCUGGGAGGUCUGCCAGCCACGUGACUCAGCGUGCUGGCUUCAGGGAAGUCAGACAGAAGAGCAAACUUCACCCAGGAGCAACCUUUGGGGGCACUGGAUGGAAUCUGAUAGUUGAACUGAAGCUAACUUCACUUUUUAAGUGGAAAUUUUCAUGACACUUCCAGUUUUCUCUCUGUGUCAUCCGAAGACAAUGCAAAAAAAUACGCACAAAGAAGCAAGUGGAUAUACUGACAACAAAGAACAAACUUCGUGGGGGUCAUGAGCGGGGUCUGAGAGUGUUUCCUGUCUCAUGGGAAGCGUUUACAUCAUGACUUGUCGUCUAUACUGUCUAGCCUAGUGUCUCCGAACUUCCUGGAAUAAAACCAAACUAAGCAAAACAAUAAAAAUGACAUUUUUUUGUG
Long non-coding RNA from Rhinolophus ferrumequinum (greater horseshoe bat), 455 nucleotides. RefSeq lists it as uncharacterized. The record is from RefSeq and is a predicted model, not a curated record. The transcript has 3 exons. Lineage: Eukaryota; Metazoa; Chordata; Mammalia; Chiroptera; Rhinolophidae.